CCCUUAGAUGUUCUGGGCUGCACACGUGCUACACUGGCAGGUUCAGCGAGCUUCAUGCCCUGAUCUGAAAGGAACGGGAAAUCUUUUCAAAACCUGCCGUGCUUGGGAUAGAUGUUUGCAAUUAUUCAUCUUCAACGAGGAUUGCCUUGUAAGCGCACGUCAUCAGCGUGCAUUGAAUACGACCCUGUAUUCUGUACACACCGCCCGUCGCUCCUACCGAUUGAAGUUUUCGGUGAGUUGACAGGAGGAUUUUUUUGAAACUGGUUCGCCAGUGGAUUUUAGAUCCAAAUGCCAACGAAUCGAUGGCUUUAGAGGAAGGAGAAGUCGUAACA
RNAcentral lists this ribosomal RNA (332 nucleotides) under uncultured eukaryote. RNAcentral's name for it is "partial 18S ribosomal RNA". It matches the Rfam family "Eukaryotic small subunit ribosomal RNA", at positions 1470 to 1796 of the family's 1831-position model. The record is from RNAcentral.